GUACAAUUUGCUGGUCUCUCAUCCAAAGUUAGGCCAAAAACUUGAAUUCUAGAGCUCCAGUCCCCUACCGAUAGAAAUCAAGAGUUUCCGAUUUAUUUGGCCAUUUUUCCUGCUCAUCACGGCUAAAACUUUACCAAACCCUAAUUCUCUUCUCAUCCCUUCCCUAUCCUCUCUUGCCUCCUAAUACUGAAAAUUGUCGAAAACCCUACUGAAACUAUCGAGAAAAUGGUCAAAAAACGGCGAGAUUAUGUAUACUCCCAGGGCAUCUAUUAGUCAAGGUGGUUACUUGAUCACGUAUUGUGUUUUCUGUAUGUAAAACGGAAUGGCAGAUUCUGAAGCAUAACAAAAAUAAUGUAUCAAAAUAGGCAAGAUAUCUUGCCAGUGCUGCUGCUAAUGGUGGACUAUAGUGGAAAACAUGCCAGAAGUACAAGAAUGUAUUGAUCCGGAUUAAAUGGGGUCGAAUGCCCUCAAUUCUCACUAUGGUUACAAUGAGUUACUGAUUCUUGGUCCAUAAAUAAGGUUGUUCUCUAAUUUGUUGAAUUUGUGGUCGUUGUUGCGUUUUUUUUAUGUGCAUAAAAUGGAUAUCAAUCUACGGUUUAGGAAGAACAGAGAGACUCACCUAAGUACUUCGCAUCUACGGGAAGAAGAUGUCACCAACAUUAGAUGAACAUUGAUAAUUCACCUAAGGAUCUGUUUUAGUAAAACUUGACGAGGUUCACUGGGUUUGUGUAGCAUGGCGAGACAGAUGCAGGAAAAUAUUGGGAUUAUCCUUUAAAAGGAUUUUAGUAGAGCGUUAGUAAACUCUUGAGUUAGUAAAGUUGCAGUUUCAGAAUCAACAAAAUAGGUUCUUUCAUCUCAUAUUUUAUCUCAAGGUAACAUGGCCAGCUGGAAUCUACACAUUAGAAGAUGGAGUGAUGAACCCUCUCUGCUUAAGGUUCCUUCUACACUAAUUUAUUAUAUUCAGCCUUAACUUCGCACAAGGGGAAUCUGGAACAAUAAGGUACCUAAUAAGAUCAGUUUCUUAUUAGGUAGUGAUGAAAGGCCGUUGUUGGUUCAAGUCUUGAAGAUAGUGAUGACGGAAUGUCGCUGUUGGUUGAGGAUAGUGAUGAAGAUGAAUAAAGAUCAAAAAGACAUAUAUUGGACACCAUAGCUGUGCUUCUAAACUUCCAAAAACUGAUACAGGUUAUUCAGAAAAUCACUAACAAUUGCGUCAAGCAACAUAUUCAGUUAAGAGGAACACAAGUUGGUAUUGUAAAAUAAUCAUAUCACGUUAGUCGCAAUGCCAAGCACCAAAAUGUUAUAUCUCAGAUGUUUUAGUCCUUCUCUA
This is a long non-coding RNA of Papaver somniferum (opium poppy), 1327 nucleotides long. RefSeq lists it as uncharacterized. The transcript is spliced from 7 exons. Lineage: Eukaryota; Viridiplantae; Streptophyta; Magnoliopsida; Ranunculales; Papaveraceae. The record is from RefSeq and is a predicted model, not a curated record.